Long non-coding RNA from Hemicordylus capensis (graceful crag lizard), 675 nucleotides. RefSeq lists it as uncharacterized. NCBI's taxonomy places the organism in Eukaryota, Metazoa, Chordata, Lepidosauria, Squamata, Cordylidae. The transcript has 3 exons. The record is from RefSeq and is a predicted model, not a curated record.
UGCACUUCCUGGUUGCUUCAGGGAAUAUAUUUUUAAUACAUUUCCCCCUUUUUCCUGGGGGUAGUGCCAGGAGGAGCCCCCUAGGAAUCAGAUUGGCUGGAGUAACUUGAGUAGCAGCUAACCCAAACAGGAAGUUUCAGGCAGAGGAGGAGGGGCUGGAGGAAGGUCUCUGCUCUGGAGGAUUCCUUGGCUGCUGUGCUGGCAGGCUUGGAGGAAAGCGGGGGGUAGAACCUCAGUGACCAGAUUCUCCCCUGCCCCGCCCCCCCAGUCCCCACCAGGCGCUACUUGGACUGAUUCUGUAUAUGACAGCUUCCUAUGUAACCAGAGGCCUGCUCCCAAACAUCUGGAUUCAGGGGCAGAUUUGCAGGAUCUGCACUGGGACAAAUAUCCAACCAACAACAAACAAAAGACAACUAAAUAGAAUACAACCAGAGGGCUGGAGUUUGGUUUUCCCAAACUCUCAGGAAAACUUCACAAAUACCCAAGCCAUUGUUGUAAGCUGCCCAGAGAACAAUUUGUUAUUUUAUAAUAAAAAUAAAGUUGUAUUAAUUAUUAUUAUUUUAUUUCAUUCUAUUUAUUUUCAUAAAUUAUAUGACUUUUCACCAAGAUUGCAAAUCAGAUUACAGCAUAGACAAGAAUAAAAGUACACAACCAAAUUGCAUGAUACGACAUUAU